RNAcentral lists this ribosomal RNA (115 nucleotides) under Poseidonocella sedimentorum. The record is from RNAcentral. Lineage: Bacteria; Pseudomonadati; Pseudomonadota; Alphaproteobacteria; Rhodobacterales; Roseobacteraceae.
UUUGGUGGUCAUAGCGAGAGCAAAACACCCGGCUCCAUUCCGAACCCGGCCGUUAAGUGCCUUAGCGCCGAUGGUACUGCGUCUUAAGACGUGGGAGAGUAGGUCGCCGCCAAAC